This 176-nucleotide unclassified non-coding RNA is filed under the name Eurytemora carolleeae. RNAcentral describes it as "uncharacterized LOC111716643". Lineage: Eukaryota; Metazoa; Arthropoda; Copepoda; Calanoida; Temoridae. The record is from RNAcentral.
UUUUAGAAAGGAACCUAAUACCAGGAAUACACAAGAUGUAAGCCAGCCAAACUACACCUCAGCAAGCAGGAACUAUUGAAAAUAAAAGAAAUUGACAUGACAAAGGUGGAUGUAUCUGCUCUUGACUUUGCAGGCUCUGAUCAGUCCCACGAUUUUAGGAGUUAUCAGGGAUACAG